CAGUCGCCGCGGUAAUACGAAGGGGGCCAGCGUUGUUCGGAUUUACUGGGCGUAAAGCGCACGUAGGCGGAUCGAUCAGUCAUGGGUGAAAUCCCAGAGCUCAACUCUGGAACUGCCUUUGAUACUGUCGAUCUGGAGUAUGGAAGAGGUGAGUGGAAUUCCGAGUGUAGAGGUGAAAUUCGUAGAUAUUCGGAGGAACACCAGUGGCGAAGGCGGCUCACUGGUCCAUUACUGACGCUGAGGUGCGAAAGCGUGGGGAGCAAACAGGAUUAGAUACCCCGGUAGUCCCUGUCUCUUAUAC
Molecule: ribosomal RNA, 301 nt
Filed under: uncultured bacterium
Lineage: Bacteria
Description: partial 16S ribosomal RNA
Rfam family: Bacterial small subunit ribosomal RNA
Source: RNAcentral